RNAcentral lists this long non-coding RNA (2493 nucleotides) under Homo sapiens (human). RNAcentral's name for it is "HSALNT0191751". Lineage: Eukaryota; Metazoa; Chordata; Mammalia; Primates; Hominidae. The record is from RNAcentral.
UCUGUUAGAAAAUGACUAGAAUUUUCUAAGGCAGCACUGCCUAAUAGAAAUAUAGUGUGAGCCACACAAUAUAAUUUUUAAGUUUUUAGUAGUCAUUAAAACAAGUAGAAAGAUACCAGUGGAAUUUUAAUAACUGUAUUUCUAUACUGCUGCUCCUUCUAUUGAAUCUAACUUAAAAUUCCAUGUAACCCUCACAUGUGGGUAUGAAAAACAUUAACAGGAAAUGCUAAUAUAGGGAGUCAGUGAAGCUGGGGUAGGAAAUUGAUGAUGUGAUACCGGAAGUGAUCUGGCAGGGCUUUAAAGUAAUGCCAGAGGUCCUUCCAGGCAGUUCUCAACUUGCUCCUUGGCUGUUCUCCUGACACUUAAGUCAGAGCAUUCUGUAGCUGUAUUUUACAGAACUGUAAUUGCACAGAUUGUUCCUCUUACAAGAGAAAUAUCCAGAGCUCUAAGAAAACAACUGAUGAAAACGACAUGCGUGACAUUUGGUGCUGAAGACCCAGGUCAGAGAGACUCCUUUGGGGGACCAGUCCGCUGUCCUUGCCCUCACUCUGUGAGGAGACCCACCUACGACCUCGGGUCCUCAGACCAACCAGCUCAAGGAACAUCUCACCAAUUUCAAAUCGGGACCCCACUGGAAAAUGGACUGUCCAACUCACCCGGCAGCCACUCCCAGAGCCCCUGGAACUCUGGCCCAAGGCUCUCUGACUGACUCCUUCCCAGAUCUUCUCGGCUCAGCAGCUGAAGACUGACACUGCUUGAUUGCCUGGGAAGCCUAUAGGACCAUCACAGACACUUUGGAUAACUCUUACAGUGAAGGUGUCUGGAGUUUCCCCUAUGGACGCUCUCUCCUGCCACCAUGUAAGUCUUGCCUCUCUUUUCGUUUGCCUUCCACCAUGAUUGUAAGUUUCCUGAGGCCUCCCCAGCUAUGUGGAACUGUGACAAAAAAGCGCCACUGCAGGGAGGAAUGCCAGGGUCCCAUAGAGGGAGACCGACAGUGAAGUGGAGCCUGCCAUGAAUUCACCAAAGGCCAUUCUCCCUUUCUUCCAGAAGAACAGCAUUUAGCUGGGCCUAUGGCUACCUACCUAAAGACUGCACCUCUUAGUCACCCUUGUGGCCAGGUGUGGCCACGUGACAGUGGAAUGUAAGUGGAAGUGAUGUAUGCACUUGGGUUCAUUGGUUUAAAAAAAAAUAUGACCGCCCUCCAUUUCCACUCUUUGUCUUAUCUGUGAAUGGGAACAUGGCUGUGUCUGCAGCCCGACUUUGUGCAGCAAAGGACAAGGCCCUAGGGGAAGGUGGAGAAACAAGAUGGAACAACUUGGACCCAACAACUUGGAUCCCUAUGUGGCCAUGUGGAGUCAUCUCACCCACCUGGGCCACUCACCCCGAAGACUGUUGUGUGAGGGUGAAAUAAACUUCUGUAUCACUAGCCCCUGCAUUUCAGAAAUUCUUUGUUAUGGCAGUUUUGCCUUUAUCCUAACACAGACAGCAAAGUAUCUUCUGUGGCCCCAUGACUAAUUUCGUUGUUUAAACUCAUUAUAAAAACUAUAUAAAUAAAAUAUUAAAAAUCAAAUAAAAUAGCAAGAUAACACUGUGUAACUAUCCAGUUUUAGAUGUUAUUACCUUUUUGGCAUAUUUACCUCAUCUAUUUUCUCCAGGGGUUUUUAAAGAAGAGUCAUGCUUGUUAUUUUAAAUUAUCUGCAGUGCUCCUUGGUCUUAUAAAACUAUGGGUUAUUUCAAACUUCGGUAAAUGUCUGAUACACAUGAACUUCUUGCAUUGUUGAGGAAAUCAGAGAAAAAUGAUGCUGUUUUUCCCUUGUAAGUUGACAAUGGAUGGAGAUGAAACCACCUUUGCAAAAUUAUGGCAAUAAGAGAAAUUGGACAUGGCAGACUCCAUCUUGCUUUUAGCCUCACAGGUUGGCUGUCUUGGCUCAUUCCUGGGCAUAAGCCAAGCUAACUUUGGCAGAAAUUGAGUUUAUAGUGUAAACGAUAAUAGCCUUUCCCCAAAACUAAACUACCCUUGUAAAAUUAAUGAAAGGCCACCAAGUUAGGAGGAUGAGAAGGGCCUGAAUGCCUGAAUUCAGCCAUUAUUCUGGAAGUCACAAGAUGUGCAACCUCCCCAGUUACUCCUGUAAAUAACUUCAGUAUUGUAGAACCUAAGAUUGGCCUUUUGACAGCCUUUUGCAUUUCUGACAACUAGAUGGCCCCACGCAGACCCGUGACUCAACCAGUCCUAUAGCCUUCAUCCAAAAAUGGACUCAGUGCAUGAGGACUGUUUUCCACACCCUUAUGAUUGCAUCCCAAACCAAUCAGCAGCACCCAUACCCUAUCCCCUGCACACCAAACUAUCUUUGAGAAACUCCUAACCUCUGAUUCUUUGGUGAGAUUGAUUUAAGUAAUAACUCUGUCUCCCACAUGGCGUGGCUGGCGUCGUGUCAAUUAAACUCUUUCUUUACUGCAAUGCCAUGGUCUCUAUGAAUUGAUUUUGUUUUGCAG